GGGGCCGUGGCCUAGCCUGGUUUAGGGCGUCUCCCUGUCACGGAGAAGAUCGCGAGUCCAAAUCUCGUCGGCCCCG
This 76-nucleotide transfer RNA is filed under the name Candidatus Omnitrophica bacterium CG08_land_8_20_14_0_20_41_16. RNAcentral's name for it is "tRNA-Asp". It matches the Rfam family "tRNA". From Rfam's summary of the family: Transfer RNA (tRNA) molecules are approximately 80 nucleotides in length. Their secondary structure includes four short double-helical elements and three loops (D, anti-codon, and T loops). Further hydrogen bonds mediate the characteristic L-shaped molecular structure. tRNAs have two regions of fundamental functional importance: the anti-codon, which is responsible for specific mRNA codon recognition, and the 3' end, to which the tRNAs corresponding amino acid is attached (by aminoacyl-tRNA synthetases). tRNAs cope with the degeneracy of the genetic code in two manners: having more than one tRNA (with a specific anti-codon) for a particular amino acid; and 'wobble' base-pairing, i.e. permitting non-standard base-pairing at the 3rd anti-codon position. Lineage: Bacteria; Pseudomonadati; Candidatus Omnitrophota. The record is from RNAcentral. RNAcentral also lists the same sequence under 1 other name.